This is a long non-coding RNA of Sander lucioperca (pikeperch), 215 nucleotides long. RefSeq lists it as uncharacterized. The transcript is spliced from 3 exons. Lineage: Eukaryota; Metazoa; Chordata; Actinopteri; Perciformes; Percidae. The record is from RefSeq and is a predicted model, not a curated record.
AAAAUGCAGCAGAUCAUUUUCAUAAUGAAGUAUAAAAUGUAUUACAUUUUGACGUUUUAUUACAUAACGCGCUGUUACAAGCAUGGAAAGAUUAACACUCGAUACACUGUUAGAGGCAAGAUUUGGAAGGCAAAUGAACGAGAUACGUGUUGAAAAGUUACACACAAAAAAAAAAACAUAACAGGAAGUUAACAUACUUUUUUUGUAUAUGCUGU